RNAcentral lists this ribosomal RNA (219 nucleotides) under Bacteroides caecigallinarum. RNAcentral's name for it is "partial 23S ribosomal RNA". It matches the Rfam family "Bacterial large subunit ribosomal RNA", at positions 2123 to 2351 of the family's 2925-position model. The record is from RNAcentral. Lineage: Bacteria; Pseudomonadati; Bacteroidota; Bacteroidia; Bacteroidales; Bacteroidaceae.
UUGGGCACGCGAUGUGUAGGAUAGGUCGGAGGCAAUGAAUCGGGCACGCCAGUGUUCGUGGAGCCGCUGUUGAAAUACGACCCUUCGUUUGUUUGAGUUCUAACUUCAGGAAAGAAGGACAUUGCUUGGUGGGUAGUUUGACUGGGGUGGUCGCCUCCAAAAGCGUAACGGAGGCUUCUAAAGGUACCCUCAGGCCGAUCGGUAACCGGCCCAAGAGUG